GUCACGCGAACGGCAACGGCUAUUGAUGAGUACCCUCAUCCGCUGGCCUACCUUCACGACGGGAUAGUUGUGUAGGCUGUUUGCGGGUUCCGUUUAGUGUGCUUUGCACACUCGGGCUCGACACUGCGCUACCCCGCAGGUCACCGAUACACGGGUUUCGUGAUCGAUGUUCUCGCUGGUAGCAGGGAUUCGAUCCAACCAGUG
RNAcentral lists this non-coding RNA (204 nucleotides) under uncultured Luminiphilus sp. RNAcentral describes it as "ilvB-OMG RNA". It matches the Rfam family "ilvB-OMG RNA". The record is from RNAcentral. Lineage: Bacteria; Pseudomonadati; Pseudomonadota; Gammaproteobacteria; Cellvibrionales; Halieaceae.